RNAcentral lists this ribosomal RNA (468 nucleotides) under uncultured bacterium. Its description in RNAcentral is "partial 16S ribosomal RNA". It matches the Rfam family "Bacterial small subunit ribosomal RNA", at positions 28 to 507 of the family's 1533-position model. The record is from RNAcentral.
GACGAACGCUGGCGGCGUGCCUAACACAUGCAAGUCGAACGGAAAGGCCCUGCCUUUGUGUGGUGCUCGAGUGGCGAACGGGUGAGUAACACGUGAGUACCCGUCCUUUGACUGGGGGAUAACUUCAGGAAACUGGUGCUAAUACCGGAUAGGACCUCCUACUACAUGGUGGGGCUUGGAAAUUUUCGGCGAUUGGGGAUGGACUCGCGGCUUAUCAGCUUUUUGGUGGGGUAGCGGCUUACCAAGGCAUUGACGGACAUCCGGCCUGAGAGGGUGACCAGGCACAUUGGGACUGAGAUAGGGCCCAGACGGAAACGUGGGACAGCGGUGGGAAGCAUUGCACAGUAGGCCGCAGCCUGAAACAACGACGUCGGGCUCGGAAUGACGGUUUUAGGGUAAUAAACCGCUUGAGCCUGUAACGAUGAGUGAGUGACGGUACCGGAUAAAGAGGCACCGGCUAACUACGUG